ACCAAAACACCCAAAGGCCUCGUGGCUUUGGCUUCAUCUCCUUUGACUCUGAGGAUGCAGUGGACCGAGUCCUACAAAAAUCCAAUUUCCAUGACCUUAAUGGAAAGUAUGUUGAGGUCAAGAGAGCCCUACCUAAAGAUGCCAACCCUGGUGGCGGGGGUCGCAACAUGGGGGGUGCGGGGGCCUACCAAGCCAACCCGAAUACCUAUGAGUCAAGGAUGGAUGGGAAUCGAUAUGUUCAACCUCCGGCUGGUGGAGCCGG
Molecule: long non-coding RNA, 262 nt
Filed under: Amborella trichopoda
Lineage: Eukaryota; Viridiplantae; Streptophyta; Magnoliopsida; Amborellales; Amborellaceae
Description: long non-coding RNA (ATRI_LNC005221)
Source: RNAcentral